RNAcentral lists this ribosomal RNA (465 nucleotides) under uncultured Haemophilus sp. RNAcentral describes it as "bacterial SSU rRNA". It matches the Rfam family "Bacterial small subunit ribosomal RNA", at positions 338 to 795 of the family's 1533-position model. The record is from RNAcentral. Lineage: Bacteria; Pseudomonadati; Pseudomonadota; Gammaproteobacteria; Pasteurellales; Pasteurellaceae.
CCUACGGGUGGCUGCAGUGGGGAAUAUUGCGCAAUGGGCGGAAGCCUGACGCAGCCAUGCCGCGUGAAUGAAGAAGGCCUUCGGGUUGUAAAGUUCUUUCGGUAGUGAGGAAGGGUGAUGUGUUAAUAGUACAUCAAGUUGACGUUAAAUACAGAAGAAGCACCGGCUAACUCCGUGCCAGCAGCCGCGGUAAUACGGAGGGUGCGAGCGUUAAUCGGAAUAACUGGGCGUAAAGGGCACGCAGGCGGUUAUUUAAGUGAGGUGUGAAAGCCCCGGGCUUAACCUGGGAAUUGCAUUUCAUACUGGGUCGCUAGAGUACUUUAGGGAGGGGUAGAAUUCCACGUGUAGCGGUGAAAUGCGUAGAGAUGUGGAGGAAUACCGAAGGCGAAGGCAGCCCCUUGGGAAUGUACUGACGCUCAUGUGCGAAAGCGUGGGGAGCAAACAGGAUUAGAUACCCUUGUAGUC